RNAcentral lists this ribosomal RNA (456 nucleotides) under uncultured bacterium. RNAcentral describes it as "bacterial SSU rRNA". It matches the Rfam family "Bacterial small subunit ribosomal RNA", at positions 916 to 1377 of the family's 1533-position model. The record is from RNAcentral.
CCGGGGCGCGCCCCGGGCGGGGCGGGGGCACGGGGGGAACGCGAAGAACCUUACCUGGUCUUGACAUCCAGAGAACUUAGCAGAGAUGCUUUGGUGCCUUCGGGAACUCUGAGACAGGUGCUGCAUGGCUGUCGUCAGCUCGUGUUGUGAAAUGUUGGGUUAAGUCCCGCAACGAGCGCAACCCUUAUCCUUUGUUGCCAGCGGUUCGGCCGGGAACUCAAAGGAGACUGCCGGUGAUAAACCGGAGGAAGGUGGGGAUGACGUCAAGUCAUCAUGGCCCUUACGGCCAGGGCUACACACGUGCUACAAUGGCGCAUACAAAGAGAAGCGACCUCGCGAGAGCAAGCGGACCUCAUAAAGUGCGUCGUAGUCCGGAUUGGAGUCUGCAACUCGACUCCAUGAAGUCGGAAUCGCUAGUAAUCGUAGAUCAGAAUGCUACGGUGAAUACGUUCCCGG